This 1245-nucleotide long non-coding RNA is filed under the name Olea europaea subsp. europaea. Lineage: Eukaryota; Viridiplantae; Streptophyta; Magnoliopsida; Lamiales; Oleaceae. The record is from RNAcentral.
CAGCAAAUUAUCUUAUUUCCCCAGAUCGAGAAUAUCAUAGCUCGUCUUACUCAUCAAGGGAGAAGGAUCGCCACAAACAUCAUUCGCAUGCAUAAGCUAAGUUGAAAGGUGCUAUUUUAUUUAUGUUACGCUGCUCGAUUGUAUGUUGCUUUCUUGCAAUUAAAUCAUUCUGGAUUAAAGGACAUCAGAAAGUACUUUUAGGGUUAAGGUACAGUUCCCUCAACAGUGAAAACAUUGUUGUCAAGUAGUCUUUCAAAACCGUUGAUAUUGAAUUUUGGUACUUCUAACGAGAAACUUUAUUUCUUUAUCUUCGUUUAAUGUUUUUGUUGAUAACCAUUAAGGAAAUGAUGAACUUUUGUGUUUCCAUUUUAUGUGAAGCUUUUCGGACGAUCGUGUUGUUGUGGAACUAUUUGACAUAUCCAGAGUAGUCUUACCGAUGCCUCCCAUCCCAACAAUUGGAAUGGUUUGGCAUGUUGAUUGUUGUUCAUUACAAAGUUGAUCCUUUGUCCAAGUCUUCAGCAAAUCCCACCACCGUACUAGUCUUGGCCACCGGGAGCUGGCAUUGACUGCGAAAAAUUCUAGGGGCGGGCACUUUGUUUUUCACUCCCACGUUUAAUCUUCUCCAUCUCUUCCAUGAUAGUAUCCAUUUUUUGUUAUUACAUUCUCCAAAGUCUGUAAUAUAUACAUCUACUACCUCUUCCGUCUCGGAAUCAGAUUUUGUUACUCUUUUCUGUAAGCCUAUUUUUAGGGAUUCAAUGACAUCUUCAGCAUGAUAAGCCACAUCUCUGAUUUUUAUUUCCAACGACUUCACUUCUUCACUGCUAUUUUGGGAUGAUUUUACCAGAAAAGGUUCGAUUUCAUUGACCUUUAUUUCCAGGAGAUCAAUUUGAGCCCAUUUAUCAUAAAGAAUAAUAUUUUCAUCUUCAAGGAAGAUCAGAGCCAGAGUUUGCCUAGGAGAAACUGCAGCAGCGUAACAUCAAGGGAGCAUUGUUUUAGUAAACAAUGGGUAAUUCUCCUUUACGAGGGCCCAUUUGGCCUGUUAGUGCCGGGGGGCCUCAAAGGGUAAUUUGUUCCCUUUGGUCAUCAUUACCCCACUCCUCGAUGCAAUUUUUGGAAUAGUCGUCUAGCAUUUAAUACUUAUUUUCAUUGGUCAGUACAUUGUGAGUUGGAUUCUCUUAACAAAUCCUGGAUAAUCCAAUAUACUAAGCAAAUUCAUUUUUAAAGAAUGCAAUUAUUGGAGAGAAG